UACAGAUAUGCCAAGGAAGACGAGAAGUGGGAGAGAAAGAAGAAGGAAAGACAGGAGAAGUCUAAUGAAAGGAGAGCAGAGAGGAAGUCAAGGACCGAUGAGAUCAGGCGUAAAUAUGGGCUGAUGAAAGAUGACAAUUAUCAGCGAUUUGACAACGAGGCCUAAGAUAGGGAGGGACCACAUCGGGGGGAUACCUGGCCGGUCCAGAGGUAAGGAGAUACCACAAGGAGAACCUUCAGGAUAUAAAUAGCUCGUCACCACCCAAUGAUGUAAACAUUUGUUCACAGAGACCACUGGUCUCUUCAUUCAUAUUUUAUGAUCGCAAUGUCACAUAAUGUUCCUUCAUUUUGUUCAUGUUUUAAAAAAUUGUCAAACUGUACAUGGGGUAUUGGUGCUUUAAAUAUAGGAUGAUUUGUGUCACAGCAUAAAAGUUUAGAUUCUAGCUAUCGAGUAUCAAUGUACAAAGUCAUAUUUUUGAAAUAGACAAAAGUAAUAGCUCUAGAUUAUUCAAUUACUUAAUUUUACAUUAUUGUUUAAUUUGUAUCUUAAAUGGAAACAAAACGUCAUAUUUUUUUUUAGGAAUGGUUGUACUUGUACAUGUAAUUUUGUUUUUACAUGUAUUGAAAAUUUUGAAAAUUAUUAGUCCUUACCAAUAAUUCUUACUUUGGUAGAUGUUAAAUUUUUUUUGUUGUUUUAAUCUUUGAAUCUUUUUUGGAAAAAAAGGGAAAAUCCUCAGCUACAGUGCUGGUGAAAAUGAUUUAUUUUUUAUAAAAAGAAUUCCAAAAAUUUGCAGGUGGACAAAUACAAACUUGUACAAAACUCUGUAUGUAUUUGUGUGACUUAUCUUUAUUGAUCUCAAGAAUAGGGAAAAUCCUAUCAAAUGAGUUGAUUUGUGAGAAUUGUUUUAUUUUUAAAGAAUUUGAACAAAAAAGUCAGAAAUUAAUUUUAAAAGAACUGAUUCAAAUAUUCCAGCUUUGUUAAGGUAAUGUUAACUUUCACAUCCCCCAAGCUCAAUUGUCAUUGUUUAGUUUAAUUUUUGAUAUGUCUACAUAAACCUUACCAGUAAUCUGUUUUGUUGUGACUUUAAAUUCUUAUUGAUAAAUCCUGAGAUUGUGAUUUUUUUAAGAAGAAAGUUUUGUGUCCUACAUUUAUUAAUUUUCAGAAUAUUUUAAGGAAUUAAAAGAAUUUUUUGACAAAUAUUUUUGAUGGAAUACUGUAAAAUUACGUAUUUUUAUGGAUUCAGAUUUAUUUUAAAAAAUUAUAUUGGUUCAAAGGGAUAUGAUUUCAAUGUAAAUGUUGUGUCCAUUUGAAAUUUUAGUUUGUUUUGGAGGGCAUCUGGGUCUCUUCAUGCUACACAAACAACAACAAAUUAACCAUUCCAUGAAAAUAAGAGAUUUCACAGUAUUGCUUUGUAGUACUUAGUAAAUACUUAAAAAUUAAAAGAGUAAACUAAGAUAAAUAUUUUUUUUCAAUUUAUGAUGCAAAUUAAUUCCAGUCCUAGCUAUUCUGUCCUGAAAUGACUUAGGUACAUGUAAAUUGGUAUUUGUACUACAUGUACUUUUACCAACAUGUUAUAAAAUGUGCUUUCAGCAUGUUAUAGUCUUUUGUUUUUUAUUUUGUCAUAUACCAAGUUUGUACAUUGUACUGUAACAGAAGAACUAUAUUUUUGUAACAUUUUUAUUGAUCGUUCAAUGUAUUUUUUGGUUGGCUUGAUAUUUUAUUUGCUUCAGUGGUUUAUACAUAAUAUGUUUUCACAGAAAGAUGAUUUUCUUUUGAGACGGAAAAAAGUUUCAUUUCCAAAGUCUUCGUUUCAAAAAUAUUAAAAAGUGUUUUCUGUUGCUUGCAGAACAAAAUUUUUUGAAAACAUUGCAUUUUUAAACAUUGAUUUUUUGAAAUUAAUUUUUGUAGCAAUGGUAGAUUGUAGAUAUUGGAAUUCCUUUGAUAUAAGAAAUUGGAAUUCCUUUGAAAACUCAAAAUUGAUUUUUCCCACAAAGGCACAUGUUUUAAUUCUAGAAAUAUGUAGUAAUAUGAUUAUAUUCUUCACUUAUAUUUAAAUAUUUGAUGUACAUGUAAGCAUAACAAACACUUGGAGAGAGAGAGAGAGAGAAAGAGAGAGAGAGGAAAAUGUGACCAAUAUUUUCAUUACAGCAUUUAAAUUACAACAGACUUUUUAAAAUGUCUACAAACUUCUGCAAUUGUCCUCAAUAUUUAGUAGCUUCACUGCUAGUAUUUUGAGCAUUUGUUGAGUUCUAUUAUCAGACUUAAAAAUGAUGUAAAACAUGUGUCAGAAGAAAAAGCAUAUUUCAAAAGACAAAAGAUUUUUAUGUAAAUCACUAUAAAUUAUUAACAUUGAUAAGCAGGUAAUCUUAUGUUAAAUUGGACAUUUUUUUUCUUUUCAGUUAUAAUAUGUAUGCACAUUAUGAUAAUCAUACAUGUACUAACAUGUAUGUAUAUUUAGUGCAUGUACAUAAUAUUUAGUGUUAAGCAAUUUGGUUUCUUUGAUGAGUAGCUGAUAUAAUAAUUUCAAUCAAAAUUGUGCUUUUUUUCAUCAUUUUGUGUGAUAUGAAAUAUUUUGAUAAAACUACAAUCAGACUAAU
Molecule: long non-coding RNA, 2597 nt
Organism: Saccostrea cuccullata (small rock oyster)
Lineage: Eukaryota; Metazoa; Mollusca; Bivalvia; Ostreida; Ostreidae
Exons: 3
Source: RefSeq, a predicted model, not a curated record